Mytilus trossulus (common blue mussel) is the source of this 920-nucleotide long non-coding RNA. RefSeq lists it as uncharacterized. The record is from RefSeq and is a predicted model, not a curated record. NCBI's taxonomy places the organism in Eukaryota, Metazoa, Mollusca, Bivalvia, Mytilida, Mytilidae. The transcript is spliced from 2 exons.
ACACAUGUGUAUAGCAGAAUAGCAGACGUACUGCCAGUUGUUAGACAGGCCGGAGAGAUGCAUCUGUUGGAGCUUCAGACUAUACUCCAUUGUAUGUUAGAAGGAUUUAAGGUCAUGGGAGAGCCAAUGAUACAAAUUAAUCUUUAUAGAUAGAAUUCUAAACAUUACUGUUUUUGGCGAGAGUGAAACGGUCAGACCAUUAGUAAAAUGUUCAUUUGACAAUUCUAUAGAUAAUGGAGUCCUACACUGCUUAGUAUAUGGUAACCACGAGGAUCAAAUUUUAAUUGAAGAGAGACGAUCUCAAAAUAGUCCAAAUCGUGGUAGAAAACGUCAAAAAGUAUUGUGUCCUUAAGUUUAUACUGAAAGAUUCCGAUCCAGAUCACGUUCUCCUUCGCCUGGAGAGAAUAAUAUCCUGGCUGAAAUAGAAAAGACACAAAAUCUAGAUCCAGAUAGAGCAAUUAAUAUGGAAUGUUUGAUUCAAAAUCCAAGUAACUAUCUCGUCAAGUCUUCAUGUUUACAUAACUACGUUCAGUCAUAUGUACCAGAUGUAGUUUAUCUAAGAAAUACAACUGGAGGACGAGUAGCCAAAAUUAUAGUGGAAAUAUCUGCCUAUGAUAAAUAUGGAUCAUAUAUAUCCUUUGAAACACAUUUGAAAUGAUCUACGGAGCAGUGCUUUCAGAAGUGUAUGGUGGGUCUGUCCAAUAACCAGAAAGAAAUAGCAGGACUUGUUGUAGUGCCUGAUGGAAUGAAACUCUUAGUGGUUCAUAAAGUUGAAAAGACAAAUAAUAUGUUUUCUUAUGAAGUGAAAGAAACUGAGCUUGUCAUAUGGAGUGAAACAAAUAAACUGUUUGCGAUUAUGUUGAAAUUGAUAGAUUGUAGUUAGUGAAUAUUAAGUAAGAAAUAAAGAAAUCAUAAUUGAA